AAACAAGGGAAUAAAAGCAGGCCACAGGCUCCAAGAGAGGUAAUCCGCGGGGGUCCGCUUCCACGCUGUGGGGGCUUUGUUGUUUUGCACUUUGCAAUAUAUCUUGCAGCUGCUGGCUCUUUGGGUCCGCACUACCUUUAUGAGCUGUAAAAUCGCUGUGAAGGUUUGCAGCUUCACUCCUGAAGCUAACGAAACCAGGAGUCCACCCGGAGGAGCAAACGACUGUGGACGAGCCGCCUGUGCGAGCUGUAACCUUCACCCCGAGGGUCUGCGGGUUCACUCCUGGAGUCAGCCAGACCACGAACCCACCGGAAGGAAGAAACUCCGGUCGCAUCUGAACAUCUGAAGGAACAAGCUGGACUCACCGUCCUUAAGAAGAGAUCGCACAGAGCUUGAUAUUGAAGAGUGAACCAUGUUCAAGGAAGAAGAAAUCACCCCAUAAAAACCUUCCAGCUUGUGUUACAAUCGGAUGCCUCUAAGAUGGAAAAAAAGGCACACAGAGAUCUUCCCUACUCAGGUUCUGGUCAAAUCUUUCUCCACUUAAUGGAGCAUGGCUUCCAACUGCACCUGGAGCAUGUUUGUAAACAAUGCCAUCAGGGAUAAAAGUGUUUGAAGCUGAAGCUGGGGCUGCCAUCCAAACGUGGAAAGCGUGCCAGAGGACUGUCUUUCCCGGGCCCGCUCCACCUGCACGCCACAGAGACGAAGCUCAGCUCCGGGAUAAGAGGAAAAAGCACUGCCUGAACCUGUCCACCAGCAAAGGGACACUGCUCUGCAUAAACAGACAGAGAGGCAGGCACCUCAAGGGACUCGCAGAAGUGCCUGGAUAUUUUUAAGUACUUGAGGAAAACACAAUGAUGCCUGUCAAACACCUCAGGAACUGCUAGCGCCAGGUAAAUCGGUUUUAACAUUAGGUUGCUAAAUUUCCUUCCAUGACGUCAUAUCUUUGCAAAGCUUGGUUUUUGGUGACUGCUGUGAUAGCUGUGGGGGAAAAAGUGAUAUGUCCUAUCUGAUUCCAAGGUUUUAUAUAUUGCUAGUGCCCAACUGAUGCACCUACAUACCAUUAGUAAGUAUUGUGGUUAUUUAAUAAUACAAUAAAAUAUGAUUUAUUUUCUUUCAAUUUGUACAUACUAUUUUUUACCCAGCUACUAAGUUGUUAGGACAUAAAUACUUAUUAAGGUAGUUGGACCCAACAAGGUCAUAAACAGAAUUAUGAGGUAUUUCUUGUGGCCUCAGGGCCCUGUGAAUAAGAUUACUAAGACAUUAGGGUGCUGUGAACUGAAAAUGUUUAGGAACCGCUGAACUAAACCAUUCACAGGGGCGAGCUGGUUUAUUCCUCUCAAACAUCUUACAAUCAUUUCAAGGCUGGGCAUGAUCACUCACAACUGUAAUCCCAGCCCUUAGGGAAACUGAGGUGAGAGGAUCGCUUGAGGCCAGGAGUUCGAGGCCAGCCUGAGAAACGUAGUGAGACCACAGUCUCCACACACAAAAAGUAAAAAUCAGCUGGGUGUGAUGGCGCACGCCCGUAGUCCUAGCUACUUGGGGAGCUGAGG
Macaca mulatta (Rhesus monkey) is the source of this 1550-nucleotide non-coding RNA. The record is from RefSeq and is a predicted model, not a curated record. Lineage: Eukaryota; Metazoa; Chordata; Mammalia; Primates; Cercopithecidae.